AAUGAGGGCGUUAAAGAAACGAGUGUCAGAUAGUUUGACCACAGUCUUCCACUUACACAAGGUUCGAUGUCUCAGAAUGUUGUUUUUUUCAUUUAUUUAUUCAUUUCUUUCAUUUAUUUUAAAACCUGUUCCUAAUGUCGUUCUACUAUGUCUUGACAUACGUGCUAUGAUGUUUUUAUAUUUGAAUGUGAUAUAAAUAAAUACACACUCUUGUACGUACGAAAUUACGUAUUAUGUUUUCCACGUUCCAAAUGGAAGCAGGGAGAUACUACAUUUUAGCAUGUAGCUUAAGUAAAACAAAGUCCACAAGAACGUAAUGAGCAACACGUUACUGGACCAUGGUGAGCGUACAACGAGCAUUAGCUACACGCUAAUGUUAGCGUUUAGCUUGACAGGCGACAGCAUGAACCAUGUCGGCUCCUGUUGACGGAAAUGGUGUCAGAAUAUUGAGAGGCGUGUGAUGGCAUCUAUGCUAACUUGGUCGCUUGUGUCGCCGGGUUCUCUCUGCGGCUCGUCGUGCCUCCUGUGCAGCUCGUGUCGGCAGCUCUGUGGCAGAUAGUGAAGCAGGGAGCUGUGGUGCACUAUGGUCUGCUGGAGGAGUCCAUCAGCUCAGGGUGGUGCUAGAGUGUUGCCGCAGUCCUGUUUUUAUCAGUUCCCAGACCAUCCAGCUACAUCUGAGCAGAAUGAACAGCGUCAUCGCAAAACAGGAUAAUCGGUCUCCAUCGCUGUCUGUUUUUGUAAUGAACUCUGAUUAAAGAUCUGAUUGACAAACUUCCUGCAGCUUGUUCACGCACUAUUGGAUGAGCAGUUCCAGAGGGAUGUAUUUUAUGAGUGUUUGGCCCUAAAUAUGACUCUGCUCCGGAAACAAUAAUGAGGAAAUUUCUCUUAAACCUUCAGAAGCUGCUGCCUGUUCCAAACCUUGAACAACUCCGUCUCCCUCUGGCGAUGACUGCAUACUGUCCAGCCUGUCCUACCACCUAACAAACGCCGUCAAUGACGAAGGAGAUAAAGUUGUCAUAUCUGGAUCCACGUGUUUCACUGAGGACGACCGCGGCGGCAACGCACUUGUAACCGAGUUUAAACAGGAUGAAGAAGGAAGUAAUGUGACCUUUUGAUGGAAGUGAGUCUGAUGAUGAUGAAGAUAUGGACAAAACUUGCUUAAAAACUCACACUAGGACUAGGAAACAUCAGAGCAAAUGUUCCACAAAACGUCCUCGAAGAAAAAGGCAAAGAAACACUAACCAUUCUGUCAUCGGUGGGUGUAAUUUCCAGUCACCUGACAGUGAGACAAGUUCUGAAACAAAGGCAAGUCGAACUGAACCACCGAAGAACUCCACAGGCCUUGCAGAUGAUUCUCACGCCUCGUCCUUCACUAUCAAGUGCACCAUAUGUGAGAAGACUUUCUCAGAAAUCAUUCUAUUGAACUGACACUAUGCCAAGUUACUUAAAAUCACAAGCUCGUACCCUUGCGCUUUGUGCAAGAGAACCUUUGUGAGGCUGUGCCAAUUGGUGCGGCAUCAGCAGAACCAACCGCUGUAUCAGUGCUCCACCUGUAAGAAAUGUUACUCUAAGCAAGGACUUUUAGAUAAUCACAGGAAAGCACACACCGACACUGUAACGGCACACCUUUGUGAAACGUGUGGGAAAAGCUUCAAAUCGCUCGCUUAUCUGAUUCCGCACCAGAGCAAGCACCAAGAACAGCAGCCCAGUGUGUGCUCCUACUGUGGCAAACAGUUCAGCACAAAACACUGCCGUGAAAGCACACAUGGUGAGGCACACAGGUGGUUACCCGUGGCCCGUGUGCAGAAGGAAAUUCUAUCAAAAGACGUACCUUAAAUGGCAUCUGUAUAAACACAACGGGCAGCAGCCAUACCUCUGCGACACGUGCGGGAAAGGCUGGACCAAGGUUCACAUGGUCCAGCAUGCUCACCAGUGUCACUUGGUCCGAGGCUUGAAAGUGCAACACUAAUUCCGCACAUUUUGUUUGACUGUGUGAAUCAUUUUCUGAUAUUUUCUCCCCCUCCAAGGCCUACAAGAAACUCAAGGUCGUUUAACUCCAGAGACUCCAGUUGAAUGAAAUUACCAGAGAAAUAUACUAUAGUAUUGGAAACUGUCUGGCGAAACAUGCACAAGGCUGUAUGACGUGUGCGGCCCAGAAUGAUUUUAUUUUCUACGUGGGAAUGGAAAAAAAGUUAUUAUUUAUUAUCACUAAACAGUGAAAUUAAUGGACAAGGAAAAACAGAGUAAUUAAAGGGCACAUUCACUGCCGUGUUGUACUUCAUAUAUAAUUUUAAUAAUGCAAUCUUAUGUACAAUCAUCUAAGAAUUGACUGCAGGAAAGAAAUUAUUUGAUGUCAUUUGGUUACUAAUCAGUAUUAAUCAAUUAAUCAAGUUACUGUAAUAUAAACAUAUCAAUCCAAUAAAUAAUUUCAGCAUUAAUACUGCACCUUGUGCAGGAGCCCACUGUUGCAGGAACAACUUUGCUCCACUAGAUGGCAGUGGUGCUCCAUUAAAAACUGCCCAGUUCAGCUCAGUAUUUUGAGCUCUGUAACUGCAAGUUGAUUUAGUCAUAAUUUCACAGACCAACCUCCCAUGAAAUUGAGACGACACCAGAUUUCUAUAAAAGCAUGUAGAGGCAGUCGGAAUUAAAAUGUGUUCUGAACUACAUCAUUUUCUGGUAUUUAAACUUAUUAUGUAUGAGUGCAAUCAC
Molecule: long non-coding RNA, 2709 nt
Organism: Solea senegalensis (Senegalese sole)
Lineage: Eukaryota; Metazoa; Chordata; Actinopteri; Pleuronectiformes; Soleidae
Exons: 4
Source: RefSeq, a predicted model, not a curated record